Molecule: long non-coding RNA, 26916 nt
Filed under: Solanum tuberosum (potato)
Lineage: Eukaryota; Viridiplantae; Streptophyta; Magnoliopsida; Solanales; Solanaceae
Description: long non-coding RNA (STUB_LNC002898)
Source: RNAcentral
ACUGGAAGAUUGGGUGGAGGGUCAAUAAGGAAAGUGAGAACCUGGUUAAGAGAGAUGAAAUUGCUCUACUUGUGCAGAGUUUUAUGGACCUUGGCAGCUACCACGGAAGAGAAAUGAGGAAAAAAGCAAUGGGAAUACGAAAGAUCUUUCAAGAGUCAAUUGAAAGUGGAUCCAUUCAAGGAAAUAUUAACAAGUUCAUUCGGGAUAUUUCUCGAGGCCCAAGUCAAUAAUGUUUGGUUAUAGAGAAGUUAUGCAGAUAUAGUCUGUAUGAACUAAAUAAAUAUAAAAAUUAUUUCUGUAAUAUGUUUCACUUGGGAAGAGUAUCCAACUCUUUAUUGAAUAAAACACAAACAAGCUAAGCGCUGCCAAUGUUUCUACCUACUGUUAUUCACAGGCAUCCUGCCGAUGUUUCGACAUGCUGCUUUUGUGGAGAAAGAAACUAGUAUCAACUACUUGAUACUGUAAUCUAAUCUGCAAUAUUAGAAAUUUGAUCAUUGCACACAACAAUAAUAUUGUGUGACUUCAUGUCACAGUGACUGAUUAUUCCUCUGUUGUGAAUGUGACUAAGCCCUAAAACAGCUUUCUUUGUGUAUUUUGCACUUCAAACUUGGAUAACAGUUGUUCUUGUGUCACUAUAUAGUAUUUCUCAACAUACUAACAACUCAUAUCUUUUUUAACUUUCCUGUGUCAGUGAUGGUUCAAAAUCACUGUGUGACUAUAGAUUAAGUAAAGGAAAAGGAAUUAGAAGAUACACAAGUAUAUUAUGUAUAAAAUAUUACCUUCAUACUUUUUCUAUUGAUUUGAUUAUGUUAACAAAUAUAUUAAGUACUUCUUCUAGAUAUACAAAAUUAUUAAAUUAAUUUUUUUUUAUAUAUUUUUAUUUAUGAUAACUAAAUAAGAUCUAAAUAUCAAAUAUUAAUAUACAUGUAUGAUAUAUAAUAGCACUUAAUUAUUAUGGAAAUAUCAUAAAAAACUUGCGGUAAGAAUGAUUAUUAAAUUAACUUUUUAUGUAUUUUUAUUUAUAAUAAGUAAAUAAGAUCUAAAUGCCAAAUAUAAAUAUACAUGUAUUCAAAGGCUAUUCAGGAUUUCGGAAGGAUGGGCGCACUAUUACGAAAAAAUACAAGAUAUAAAUUUAAUUGUUUUAGAAUAAUACUUCCUCUGUUUACUUUAACUUAUCCGGUAUACAAAAAUAUUUUUUCUCUUUGAUUUUAACUUUUAACUUUUCAAGAAAAUAUAAUUAUUUUUUUCAUAUUUCAUCUUUAAUAUUAAUUACUUAUUUCUUAAAUUAUUUUUGAAGACUUAAUAAUUAAUAGAAUAUUAUAGUUUUGAAUAUGCUAAAUCUGACGAGGUAUAACUAAAACGAAGGAGUAUUUCUUACUUAGGAGCACAACAUGAUAAGUAAGAAAGCAGUCAAAGUUGCUGCCCAACACAACCUUCGUCUUCACUGAUCAUCAAUCUGGUCAACUUUGUCAGUCCUAAAACCCUAGUUUUUCGCUUUUCCAAUUCAUAAAUAAAUGGAAACUACUCAACCUCUAUUUAGUUGCCAUAUAUUGGCGAUUCCAUAUCCAGGUAGAGGCCACAUCAAUCCUUUGAUGAAUCUGUGCAAGCUCAUAGCUACAACGUCCAAACCAAAUCAUCUACUACAAAUCUCUUUUAUUGUAACUGAAGAGUGGUUCAGCUUUUUGAAAUCAGAGCCAAAACCAGAUAAUAUUCAAUUUCAAACAAUUCCAAAUGUAAUUCCAUCAGAAAAGGAUCGAAGCAAAGAUUUGUUGGGGUUCGUGGAAGCUGUGUAUACUAAGAUGGAAGCUCCCAUUGAUAGUAUACUUGACGGGCUUCCGAAGCCCAAUGUGAUUUUAGCUGAUUCGUUAUUGCCGUGGGCCGUCGGUAUUGGGGAACGGAGAAAUAUUCCGGUGGCUUCAUUUUGGACCAUGUCUGCCACGGUUUUCUCCAUCCUUCAUCACCAUCAACUACUCUUGGCUAAUGGACAUUUUGAAGUCAAUUUGGCAGGUAUACUUGUUUUUAAGUUGUUAGAUUGAUGCCCUGUUUGAAUAUUGUUGGUUGAAGGACACAAUUGGUUGUCACAACUUUUUAUUAUAUUACAAUUUUGAUCACUCACUUGUUGCUUGCUUUAGCAAUACUCUUUACUUAACACUCACUAUUAUUUUCUUACUUGAUUACUUGGUUACAAUUCAAAUGAAUCACCUCUAUUUAUUGAUAGUGAUAGAAGAAUCUAGCUAAAGAUUUUUCUACUAUGUUCUGUUCUUCUAACUACCUAUUUUUAUAACUAUUUUUUUUAGAACAUUUCUAGACUUUUGUUUCAAGAAUAUGCAUUCUUGUAUUUCUUUACAACUCAUUAAUAUUCUAGAUUCUUCUUUGAAAUAUCUUGGAAAUUAAUUAAGAUGGUGAUCAAUUCUUAAUAUGCAUGUCAUGUAAUUGUAACCUUAACAGUUUGAUAUAACUGCAAACAUAUUUCCUUUCCACCGGGCGGUGUCGGCUGAGUUAGAAUUUUGCAUUAAAAAAAAAGAAAUAGUUUAUUAAGCUUUGAAAACAUUAUUAACAUAUAUUAAAACAACCGUGUAACAUGCAUAUAAAAUAUGAAUUAAAAUUAUUGGCUUCUUAAUGUCAAAAUUAGAUGUGUCAAAAAUGAGCUCAAUUAUAGGUAACCCGCUCAUAAUUUUAAGGGUUGGAUUCCAUCUCAACUCAUUCAAACUUUAGCUUAUUUUCAAAUAAUCCUCAAUUGAGCCUAAUUUAAUCUCCAAUUUCAACAUGUUUUAAGACUCUUUAUUUGCAUUGAUGUAAUGUAUGUACCUAUAUUAAAUGUAUGAAUUACUAUCUAUUUUAUAUCUUUUAGGAUUUAUCUAUUUAUUUUUAAGUUCUUUUUUAAAAUUUUCAUGAAUUAAAAUUCAAAUAGUGGUUAUAAAACUUAAAUAAGAAUGUAUUAAAAUUAUUGAGAUUAAGCGGAUCAAGAUUCAACCCGUUUUAAAGCCCAUUUGAGCUCAAAAUAAACCUGGGCGGGUCAGUAUCCAACCCAAUUUCUAUUUCUACCCAUUUUAAUAUUUUUGAUUUCAACCCAAUCCACCCAUUUGACGCGCCUACUCAUAAUGAACAGAACAAGGAGAAGAGCUUGUAAAUUACAUUCCGGGGAUUACACCAAUUUGUGUAAAGGAUCUCCCACCUGUGUUCCACUGCAAAUACCGGGAGAUGUUGCACUUGAUUCUUGAAGUUGUAUUACAGUUGGUCAAUAUAGCACAAUACGCCCUGUUCACCACCAUUGAACCAUUGGAAUCUCAAGUAAUUGAGGCUUUACAAGCUGAAAUUCCAGUCCCCAUUUUCACAGUUGGUCCAACAAUCCCUUACUUGGAUACCGAAUUCAAGACUAACCAGCCUUGUCCUAACUACUUGUCAUGGCUUGAUGAUCAACCUAAGGACUCUGUUCUAUACAUAUCCCAAGGAAGUUUCUUGUCAGUAUCAAAUACACAGUUAGAUGAAAUUAUAGCGGGUGCGCACAGCAGUGGUGUCCGUACAUUUUGGGUGGCACGUGAAACUUCUUCCUUACUUAUAACAGAUGGAAUUGGGAAGAGGGGAAUCGUGGUGCCUUGGUGUGACCAAUUGAGAGUUUUGUGCCAUCCUAGUGUAGGUGGAUUUUGGUCGCAUUGUGGAUGGAAUUCAACCAAGGAAGGUGUGUUUGCUGGCGUUCCGUUUCUUACAUUCCCCAUUGUGGCUGAUCAAUUUACCAACAGUAAACAAAUAGUGGAGGACUGGAAGAUUGGGUGGAGAGUCAAUAAGGAAAGUGAGAACCUGGUUAAGAGAGAUAAAAUUGCUCUACUCGUGCAGAGUUUUAUGGACCUUGACAGCUAUCACGGAAGAGAAAUGAGGAAAAGAGCAAUGGGAAUACGAAAUAUCUUUCAAGAGGCAAUUGAAGGUGGAGCCAUUCAAGCAAAUAUUUACAAGUUCAUUCAGGAUAUUUCUCAAGGCCCAAGGCAAUAAUGUUUGGUAUGUGAAGAAGUCAUGCAGAAAUUAUGUAUGAACUUAAUAAUAUAAAAACUAUUUUUGUAAUAUGUUUCACCUGAGAAGAGUAUCAAACAUUUUCUUCGCUCUAAACUGCUGAGCAUGUAUAUGGCCCAAACUUUCGCAGUACUACUCUUUGUUGAAUAAAUGAAGUGGAAAGAGAACACAAACAGGAUGCACUUGGUGAGAGCAAGAAUUUUCUGCCUGCUGUUAUUCACAGGCAUCCUGUCAAUGUUUCAACAUGCUGCUUUAGUGGAGAAAGAAAUUAGUACCAACUACUUGAGUUCAGGAACCAGGUUCCUUACUCUUAACUGAAAGCAGUAACAAAAAUAUCUCGAGUUUCAUGUAGAAACCUCCUUACUCAAGAGAGUAAAAACCACAGCCUCCAAUGUGCAGGAUUUCAGCAACCAAUAUUGUAGACUCUAUCCUCUUUUACCUUGUAGAUCUCAUUAUUGAUGGACAUGUAAUGUGCUUGCACCUGAUAUAUAUACAAACAAUAGUAUAUUCAGCAUUUAAAUUAAUGGUUUCUAUUUUUCAAAUGCAAGUGCUAAUUUUUUUUUACUUGUUUUCACACACAUACAUUAUAUAUAUUUAUUCAGUUGUGGGUUCAACGAAACUAUAUCAUACUUUAAAUCCGCCGCCAUAUAAAAAAUACAUACAUAUAUAUUUCUUCCCAUCCUGAUAUUUUGGGAGGGCAUUUAGCGUCAAGCCUCUGUAUAUACGUAGGAAAACAAAUUUCUCGAGCUUUAGGGGUCGUUUGGUGUGAAGAAUUACACAAAAUAGUUAUGGGAUUAAAUUGUAGUGCCACUUAAUUUGUUGUUUGGUUGGCAUGUUCGGGAUAACUUAUCUCGGGAUUAAUAAUUAGUGCUGGGAUAAGUUAUCCCUCCUUUUGAGUGGUAUAGUAAUUCCGGGAUAAAAUAAGUAAAUGAGAAAAAUAUCCUUCAAAACUUUUUCUAUACAUCACUUUUCACAUUCAUUAAGGGUACUUUUGUAAACAAAUAAAUUAUUCUUAAAAUUAAUUUAUGCAAAGCCUAUUAUUUUGAAUACAACAUAACUUAUUCCAUCAUAAUUUAUUCCAUCAUAAAUUGAAUUCAAACCAAACGACAAUAAGUCCUGAAUUGCAGUGGUAGCAAGUGGUUAUUAUUUGUCAAUGUACGUAGGAUGUCAGCAUUGAAGCACAACAAUGCUUGUAGAGUUGUAAUACGUACCAACUGCGCAUUAAGCUAGCUCUUGCAAUGUGCAUAAGUAAAAGCGAACAGAACAGUAAUUCUUUCACAUGAUCGAUAGUUCUAAACAUUAAAAAAAAUUGUGCCACUUAUUGUUAGAAAGUUUAGGAUAGUACAGAUUCAGUGGCGAAUUUAUGUGUAAAAAUUGGGUCACCCAAACCCAUGGUCCUCCGACUAAACUCGAUAUAUUACUUGUAUAAUUAUUAAAGAACAUAUUAAAUAAACACUUGUUGAACUUGUUCUUAAAGUUGCUGGAUGGUUCACUGGUUUGACAGUCAAAUUUUAACACCAAGGUCCUGAAUUCAAUCCCCGACAACCACAAUUCACUUCAAUUUUUUUUAGUAACUAAUAACACUUGUUUUUUCAAAAAAAAAAAAUGAAAUUCUAAAGCAAUGGUACACCCGUUUUCUUGAAAUCCUGGAUUCGCCUCUGUACAGAUUAAACAUCUGUGGCCAUAUUUAAGGCCACAUAUAAUUGUUGUCAUUUAGCAUCUCAACGUUAUCAGUCCUAAAACCCUAGCGGAAAUUAACUCAACCCAAAUAUAUGUGUAAAUGGAAACUGCCGACGUUGAUCAACCCCUAUUUAGUUGCCACAUAUUGGCAAUUCCGUAUCCAGGUAGAGGCCACAUCAAUCCAUUGAUGAAUCUGUGCAAGCUCAUAGCUGCAACGUCCACACCAAAUCAUCUGCUACAACUCUCUGUUAUUGUAACUGAAGAAUGGUUCAGCUUUUUGAAAUCAGAGGCAAAACCAGAUAAUAUCCAAUUUCGAACAAUCCCAAAUGUAAUUCCAUCAGAAAAGGACAAGGCCAAAGAUUUGUUAGGUUUCAUGAAAACUGUGUUUACUAAAAUGGAAGCUCCGGUUGAUAGUAUACUUGACGGAGUUCCAAAGCCCAAUGUGAUUUUAGCUGAUUCGUUCUUGCCGUGGGCCGUCAGUAUUGGGGAACGGAGGAAUAUUCCGGUGGCUUCAUUUUGGCCCAUGUCUGCAACGAUUUUCUCCCUCUUUUAUCACUAUCAACUAUUUCUCGCUAAUGGACAUUUUGAAGCCAAUUUCACAGGUACUUUUUCCACGGUUAGUUGUUAGAUUAUCAGUAGAAACAUAUUUCCGGUCAAUUUAUUGAGUUUUGAAAAAUUAUUUAUAUUAAUGGAGUUCUUAAAAUUUGGACUAAUAAUCUGUUUGGUCAAAUUUUCGAAAAGUUAAAAGUGUUUAUUUAAAAAACAUACUUAAAAGAAUCACACUUGUUCUUAUACUUUUACGGUACUUUUUCAAUAUACUAGUAUCUAGUACGUGCGUUGCACGUGUAUCCAAGCAAGGACUGAUUCGUGUUAUAGUUUCCAACCCUUCCAAUAUUAAGCAUAAAUCUAUGUGUAAAAAAUCACUAAAUUGCAACAAAUAGUCAACAUAAACCAUGAGUCAUUUAGUACAAAAUUGAACACAUAAAAUAUGAUUUUUAGACAUUAUUAAUAAUAGAAACAACAGUUAAAAAAACAUAUUAAAGAAACAGUGGCAGAACAAAGAUUUUCACUAAAAGGGGUUCAAGAUAUGAAGAACUAAACACACAAAUGUUCAACAUAUACUAUAUAUACAUAAAAAAAUUUAUUUAGAUCAUAUGUAUAAAUAGUGCAAUUUUCCGUCAAAGAGGUUUGAAUGAACCCUCUCGGUCUUACCCGACUCCCCGAUAAAACAGAUGGGUUAAGAAUGAUCCUUUCAACUUCAUCUCAUAUCAUGUUUUGUUAAGAUUGUGCUUUGUAAUAACAAUAUAUAUAAGUGAAUAGAUUCAUUUUCUAAUCAGGGUGACUUACAUUUUUCCUUAAACUUUUAUAACCCAUUAAAUUAUUGUGCCAGGUAACUUUUACAAAUCUCCAUGACUUCAUUGCAUUAUACGUUAGCUUCUAAAUAACUUUAGGAAAUAACUGUUCAAAUACACUUUAUACUGCAACAUAUGAAUCUGAUCCAUAAUUAUACAUGAAAGGUAACUUUUCAAAUUACUUAUCUAUUUUUUUUCAAAUUAAUUAAGGAAAUCAAUGUAUUGAUUUUGAAAGAAUACAUUUUACCUGCAUUUGAAUCUAGUCCAUAUUAUUGAACCACACAAAUAACCUUUCAGAUUCUUAGCCUUUUGAGAGUAACUAAGAAAAUUAAUGCAUUGUUUUUUCAAAGAAUGAAUUGUAUUAAUUUAACAGCUUCUCACUUUUAGUAUUUAGUAUAAUAUAAUAUGGCUAGCUACUUAAUAUUUAAUUAAUUAAAUAUUUUAUAAUAUUAUGAUUGAAUGUAGGGGUAAAAGGAUAAUCCAACUUUGCACUUAGGAGUUUCCCAUAUGAUGAUGAUAUAUACAUUAUUUUAUCAAUCAUAACUUUUCAAAUUCUUCCGUUAUGAGAAUUAUGAUUAUGAUUAAAAGCAAUAUCAAUGUACUCAUUUAUCAAGAAAGUAAUAAUUUAAUUAUUAAAGGGCUUAAGGACUUAAAUUCUACCAUUAUGUAAUUAAAAUCUUUAUAUUUAAUUAAAUAAUUAAUCAAAUUUUAAUUUAGUAAAAGGGCAAAAUGGUAAUUCAACCUUUUACUUUAGAGCUUCCCACUUAUAAUAUAACUAGAUUUUGUUGCCCGUGCUAUGCACGGGCCCAAUAACAUAAAUGGUAUGUUUUGGGGCUAAUAACGAAGUUUUUGAAGCGAUUGUUUGCGUGGAUAAAGGAAUAAGUUUUUUUUAUCACAAACCUGUACUUUCUUUGACGCUAUUCAAGGCACAAUAAGACUACCCACAUACAAUAUUUUUGAACAAUUUUAUGUUGUCAAUUAUCACGAUUUAAUUUUAAGAAUCAGUCAAUUUUUUUUUCUGUUUUUUUAAUAAAUAUUUUAAGUUGUCAAUUAUCACGAUUUGUCCCAUUUUUUAUGUGGCACCCUUUGACUUGGCAUGGUGUUUAUGAAAAAAAGAAGACUUUUUAAAACUUGUGGUCUAAGAUAAUCCUCAGAGAUUUGUGUGGCUGGAAAUCAUUUCAUUAAGGAUAAAAGAGAAAUUUUAAAGUUAAUUUGUUUUCAAUUAUAGUAAGGUGACAUUCUUUUUGGGACGGACUGGAAAGGAAAGGGUGCCACAUAAAAUGGGAUGGAGGGAGUAUUAGAGCCGGUUUGGAUAGACUUUUGGGAGUGUUUGGCAAAUUUAAAUAACUUAAAAUAAGUUUAAAAUGACUUAAAAUAAGUUAAAAGUCAAAAGUAGGACUCUCCCUACUUUUUAUUCUUUGACUUAAAAGUCCUUUAAGUUUUACCUUCAAAAAGUUGUUUCUUAAAAGCUGCUUCUUAAGCCAAUCCAAAUGGGCUUUAAGUGUAGUGUUUAUACUAAAAUUAGAAAAUACAUGAUAGUAUUUGUCUCUCAACUGUUAUGGGUCUUAAAAUAUUUCUUCCUUGUGUCGCAGGGUGAAAAGUUAAGGCGGAGAAAUGACUGGUUUCAUUGGCUGAUACCACCAUCAGUACAGAAUUCAACCAUGUCAAGUCCGCGAUCUCCUCAAAUGUCUGGUCCUGAUUUGCUUGCAGAAAAUCUCCAACGUGUUGUAUUUGAUUAUAACACUACAGGACAUGGAAAUGCUGAAGCACAUCUUAGUAGAUCAUCAUCUACUGAAUUAAGUACUCCAUUUACGCAGUUUGGCAAUGAGAUGGCUGAACAGGCUGAUGCUCAGAAUUCACAGCUAAUGCCACUUGGAAAUCCAAGUUAAAGAGUUAACUCUUCUGGAGUGAAGAGUGAAGUCCAGAGGUUGGUAGCUGUUGUGCUUCUUCAAGCAAUCAAUGAGUUUUAGUUUAUACUGUUGGUGGUGGUUCUGACAUCUCAUGAAGGAACUAGGCAGGGAAUAAAAGGAUAACAAACAUAAUUGGCAAUAGAAUUAUAAUGUCUUUAAGCAUUCUUGUAGCUUGAUUUUGUUGGGAUGUAUAUUUUGUUUUGUUGGGGACAAGUAUUUUCUUUUCCUUUAUGUUAUGUUCCUUUGUCGUGGUUAUUUAUUAUACAGGUCUGGGCAAUUUUGGUUCUACUUCCCAUGCAGCCCCCCAGCUUUAUCUUCUUAAGCCAAAAUCCUUGGGGCAGGCUUACUGAAAGGUAUGAAGUUGCUGGCUUCUGAUCUUUUGUCAGAAUGGUCCUGUGAAGACUUUUGUGCUGGCCCUGGGCACUUGGUUGUCUUGUUAUUGUCUUUCUGUUUGUUUCAAAUCUAGCACCAUUGACUCUUUUAUAUUUACUAGUUAUAGGGAACGUGUGUUGCACGUUUGUCUACUACUAUUUUAUAAAAUUUACACAAACAUAAUUUUAUGUCGAUAGUUAUUUAUUGCAUAAUUUAUUUUUAUAGAUAUGCCAAAACUUGUAUUGAUUAAUAUGUAUAUGUAUAAAGUUUACAUUUUCAUCCAAAAGAAAAAAAUAAAGAUUCGAAAUAUAGUCGUCUAGACUAAGAUAUAUUCUAGUAAAUAUAUAGAUGUUUUCUCUAUACAGACACAACCAUUUAGGUUAAUAUUAUAAUUUUAUUUUUACUUAUUUGUUUGACAGCUAAGAAAUACUCAAAUAUGUAAAAUCAAUUAAGAUUAUAUAACACCUAAUCUAAUAAGAUGAAUACUAGCUUUAAAUUUAAGAAUAAAAUAUACAACAUUAUGAAGUAUUAUCUUCUAUAAAUAUUAUAUAAUAAUAAGAGUACAUCAUCAUUUUUAUUUUUUUAUUUUUAUCUUACUGUCUACUUUCAUUUUCAUUUUCCUCUCUUACUACGUACAAAAAUAUAAAUACUUCCCACUUUGUGCCUACUCAUUCAGAUUCUUCAAUUUCCACGUUUAUGAAAAAUUAACCCAAAAUCAUCUUUUAAACUAAAACUCCUAGUAUUUUAAUUUUUAAUAUAAAUUUAAAAUGCUCCAAUACAAAAAGGGAAAUGACAUAAGAAGAAAAUUAUAUUGACACAAGAGAUCACGUAGCUUUAGAUCAAAAUUAUUGUAGAACUCACGAUCCUUAUUUUUUUUCUUCUUAUUUCACCCCAUGAUAAGCUUUAACUGAAAUUACAAAAUGAUCUUGUAUUGUUAAUGCCUUGGUAUGCCACAUCUUUACAUUAUACUUAUUUCUAUAAAAUUCAGACUAUGAAGAAUUUGGACUUGGGAUUGAAAAUGUGAGAUGGUGAAUGUAUAUGAUGUGUCUGUUUGUACAUAGUAUUUUCAAAAUUUAAGAAAAGAGUCAUUUUACUUUUUUAUGAAGCUAUAACUAAGAAUUUUUGAAGAUUUCGAUAUUGGCAUGUGUAAUUGAAGAACAAAAAAGUGUCUAAUGAUGUAACGGAAGAAAAAUAAGAGACUGUUAAUAAUUUAGCGACUUAACUUUUCUUUUCAAUACCUUAAAUGUAUUAAAAAGAAAUUAAAUAGAAGAAAAUGCCACUUAACUUUUAUAGAGUCCUUUUGUAAUCCAACUUUCAACUAUAAGGUUAUCGUAUUACACUUGCAAUACACUAAUGUUUGACAGACGUCCCUCAAAAUUUGGCUCGUCGUUUAUUGUCUGACAUGACCAUUUAUGAUGAGAAACAACAACAUCUUUCUUCUUACAUUCAUGAAUCCUCAUAUGAAGUUCAGCCGCAACAAUCAAUAAAUGAACACCUUGAAUUGAUAUCAAAAUGAACAGCUUAAUAUAUAUAUAUAUAUAUAUAUAUUAUAGAGAGAGAGGGGGGGUGGAGCUACAUACAAAUUUAGCAUCAUAUAUAAUUGCUUAUUUCUAAGGUAUAGAAUGAAUAAUGUCAAAUACUCGGUGCAGAUAAAGUUAUGCCUUUCAAUAUUAUGAAUUACCAAAUAUAAGGAAAGAAUAUUAAUCAUAAAAUACCAUACAUAAAAAAAUAAACUAUCACAAUUAUAUUGAUGUAGAAUAAACACAAACUUACUUUCUUGAAGCUUGUUAUAAGAUUAUAGGAACUCACUCUCAUAUUCGAUCUCAGUUAUACAUCCUUGACUAAAUUUUUAUUGCUGCAACAAAAAAAGUCCAAAAAGUUUAACAAUCAAAUACUGUUUAAAUAACUAUCAAAGGAAAAUCAACUACAAAAAAAUAAUAUAAUAUUUUCUAAUACAAUUGAGAAUCUAAUAAUUAGAAAAUUAAAAAACACAUGAACCAUAGAAAAUGUUGAUAGGUCUGGAAUAUAUAUAGUAAGAGGAUGCAUAUUUUUUUGACUUAUGAAAUUCUUCUUUAAUAGACAAAUAAAUAAAGAAAAGAUCAAUUGAAUAGAUAAGAUGAAUAUGAACAUUUCAAAUUUUAUUUUUCCAACCUUUGAGAUUCUCAUCAAACGUAAUUAAUUGGUUAAUAUGUGGUCACUUCCCAUUUAAUUGAUUAUUGUCAUUUAUUAGAUGGUAAAUUUAUUAUUUGGUACAAAAAUAUCAUAGAAUCAGUAUUUAAAUUAGGGGUAGUAACGUUGAUUAAUUUUAAUGUAGAUUUUUGUACUUAUUUUAUUUUAAACUUAUGUUUUCCUACUUUUAAAUAACUUACAAUUCAAAAAAUAAUUAAAAUAUUAUUAUUUAAUUAAUUAGAUGUUUAAUUUAGUCUAGGGGUAAAAUGGUAAUUCAACUUUUCAUCUUUGGAGCUUCCACUUAUAAUAAUAUAUAAAAUAUGUGUGUGUGAUUUGUCAUAUUUACCUUUAUAUUCUUAAAAAAUCAUAUUUAUCCGUAGUCCCAUACAAUGUUAAAUCUCUAUGUUUUCAACAUAUUUGUCAUUUUCACCAACUUUAGAGUCAUAUCUUAUACUCUGAAAAAUCAUAUUUCAUCCCACGUUAAAGAUAGGAAAAGAGAGAAAAAUUUAUAAUUUAUCUAUGGAUAUGAUAACAUAUUGUUAUUAUUAUAACAUUACUAACUUGUUUUGAAAUAUUCAACAUCUAAAUUAUGAUUAGAAUCUUGAUAUAAUGUUAGCCAUUGAUUUUCCUUUGUCAUGUGUCUUCGAAACUUGAGCAAAAUAGGGAGAAGAGAAAUGAAUUAAGUAGUAAGCAGAAGGAAUAACGUGCUGACCUGAUUCUUUAUUCAUGGGUCAAGAACGUGAAAUUUUUUAUUAUAUGAAUCGGGGAGGAUUUGAUCUUGGAUGUCUACUCUGAUACCAUGUUGAAAUAUGUGAUUAUAUCAUCUAAAAGUUUAAUCCGCACAUUUUUAUUAUUUAAUUGUAUUCUUUCUGUUAGCAACAUGCAUUGUAAUAUCACUUAAGUUUCUCACUAGGCGUUUGGAUCUAAAUUCAGUGAUAUCUUCUUUUUUAAAAAUAUACUAUUUGACAUUAAAGUUGAAAAAUGAUUGGAUUUGGAGUUUGAAGAUGCAUUUCAAGAACAAUGUUUCGACAAGUACAACAACUUAUAUUAAUUUCAUGAUGAACAGCGCUAGGAGAAGAAGUGGUAAAUUACAUUCCUGGGCUUAAACCAAUUCGCGUAAAGGAUCUCCCAUCUUCAUUCAACAGCAAACGCCGGGAGAUGUUGCCCUUGCUUCUCCAAGUUGUAUCACAAUUAGCCAAUAAAGCACAAUAUGCCUUGUUCACCACCAUUGGAACAUUGGAAUCUCAAGUAAUUGAGGCUUUACAAGCUGAAUUUCCAGUCCCCAUUUUCACUGUCGGUCCAACAAUCCCUUACUUGGAUACCGAAUUCAACACUAACCAUCCUAGUCCAAACUACAUGUCAUGGCUUGAUGAUCAACCUAAGGACUCUGUUCUAUACAUAUCCCAAGGAAGUUUCAUGUCUGUAUCAAAAGAACAGCUAGAUGAAAUUAUAGCAGGUGUGCACAGCAGUGGUGUCCGAACAUUUUGGGUGGCACGUGAGAAUGCAUCCUUACUUACGGAUGGGAUUGGGAAGAGGGGAAUCGUGGUGUCUUGGUGCGAGCAAUUGAAAGUUUUGUGCCAUCCUAGUGUUGGUGGAUUUUGGUCGCAUUGUGGAUGGAAUUCAACCAAGGAAGGUGCAUUUGCUGGUGUGCCAUUUCUUACGUUCCCUAUUGGCGGUGAUCAAGUUACAAACAGUACACAAAUAGUGGAGGACUGGAAGAUUGGGUGGAGGAUCAAUAAGGAUAGCGAGAAAUUGGUUAAGAGAGAUGAAAUUGCUCUGCUUUUGCAGAGUUUUAUGGACCUUGACAGCAAUGAAGGAAAAGAAAUGAGGAGAAGAGCAAUGGAAAUAAGGAAGACCUGCCAAGAAGCAAUUGAAGGCAGAGCCAUCCAAGGAAAUAUUGACAAGUUCAUUCGGAAUAUUUCUCGAGGCUCAAGGCAAUAAUGUUCGGUUUAUAGAGAAGUUAUGCAGAAAUUAUGUAUGAACUAAACUAUAUAAAAAUUAUUUCUAUAAUAUGCUACACCUGCGAAGAGUAUCUAACAUUUUCUUCGCCCUAAACUGCUAAGCAUGUAAUAUGGCCCAAACUUUUGCGGUACUAGCUACUUUUUGUUGAAUAAAUAAAGUGGCAAGAGGACACAAACAAGCUGCACUUAGAAGUUCCUGCUUGCUGUUAUUCACAGGCAUCCUGCCAAUGUUUCAACAUGCUGCUUUGGUGGUGAAAGAAACGAGUACCAACUACUUGAGUUCAGGAACCAGGAUCCUUACUCAUAACUGAAAGUGGUAAAGAAAAAUAACACAAGUUUUAUUGUGGAAAACCUCCUUACUAGUAAAAACCACGACAUACCAUGGGUAGGAUUUCAUCAACCAGAGUUGAAGACUCUUUCCUCUUUUACCUUCUACUAGUCUCUGGGCACGUGUACCCCAUACGUCAAUAAGUAAAAACUCUUAUAAAGUUAAAUAACUAUUAUUUUAAAAUGUAAUACCAACUUAACCUCAGAUGAAUCCAUCUUACUAUUUUCAUACUUUAAAAACAAGGGUGAAAUUAUAACAUUAUAAUAGUAGAUCGAUCUUGUGCAUAACUUUAAAACAAUGAACCAAACCUUCCAAAUAUAAUUUAUAAAAAAUCACAAAAUGUCGAAUCAAAUGAAUUUGAUUCAUUUAAUAUAAGCUAAUCAAACUUAAUUAUGUAGGACAAUGUAAAAGUCAUACUUGAUAUUUCUAACGUUAUGAAUUCAUCUUCCUCAAAAUUCUUUUCGGUGUUUCUAAAUAAAGUGAAGAUGUCAAACUUGAUAUACACUCUAUUGUUAAUCUCAGAUUAUAGAUAGACUAAUUUGAAAAAAAUAUAUUAAUGAUCAAAAUCUUACUAACAAACAAUAGACGAUGGAAAAAGAGGAGAAAAGUAGGAACUUUACCAUAGGAGUACGUAGAACUACUAGUGGAAGAACCCAAGAUGACAAAUUUGUAUUUGGUAAUGGUAUAUAUUGAUUUAACUGCAACUUCAUAAUCUUUAAUUUAAGAUUAAAAGGGGGAAAACCUUGAUUCAUGUACUUAUUUAAGAACAAUUAUUUAGUUUUAAUUAUUUUACCAAUUACAUAUGACUCUUAAAAUUCUAGAAAUCUUAAUUGACUCUUGUCCUUCUACAUUAUCUUUCUAAUAAAUAACUUACCAUUCAAAAAAUAAUUAAAAUAUUAUUAUUUAAUAUUUAAUUAAUAGAUGUUUAAACUAAUAGAUAAAUAUAAAAAAAUAAACAUAGAAGAAAAAAAACAACAUACCCAUCCUUCUUAAAACUUUAAUCAUAACAUUAUAUAAAUGAAAAAAUAAAUACAAAAUCGGUACAUAAUUUUCCAAGUUUUUGUUGAUACCUUGUCUCAUAUCCAAUCAAAAUUCAAAAGUCUUCUCCAUCGAAUCAAACUAAAGCAUGAAUCAAAUAGAAAAAUCAUUUUAUUUUCGUAAAGUGAUAUAUAAUCAGACUAAGAUAGAUAUAUCAUAUACUUUAGAUGUUGAUGGCUUCACUACUUUAACUAUAAAAUGAAAAGGAUAAUUUUGAAUGUAAAUUUUUUUUUUUGGUAACUAUCUUUUAUAUUAAUUACCAGUAGCAAAUCAUUACAAAUCAAGCAGCUAUCACAGCAUGCUUAUUUCUCAUAAUUGCCUCUCUUUCGACUAAAGCUCUACCUUACCUAUAACUAGAAUGUAUACUCAUCUAGAAUACUAGGCUGGGAUCUAAUAAUAGAAACGUAAGCUAUCUCUUUGGCCACACUUUCUACUGUUCUGCUCUUCUGCACAAAGAUUCUAUUAUUUCUCUCAAUCCAUAUUCCACCAUAAUGAUCUUGAAGAUGUGAGCUGAAAUAGUCUUCCCUUUUGCAUGUUGUAUACUCCAAUGCAUAAAUUGCUCCCAGUUAGUAGGCAGCAUGUCAAGCUGGUGCACCAAUUUUAGCAAUCUGCUCCAUAAUUAACCUGAUGGCAAAGUGACAAUGAAUAACCAAAUGCUCUAUGGUUUCCUCCUCGUUUUGGCACAUAACACACUUCUUUGAUACUACCAUCCCCCACUUUGUUAACCUGUCUGUAGUUGGCAACUUCUUAUGAAGCAUGAGCCACAUGAUGAAAUAAGCUUUUAAUUUGAUCUCGCAGCAUUCUUGAACAUAAGGCAUUUCCAGUCAAUCCUCUGUUGUUCCCCUAUCAAAGACAAAUAAAUUUUGGAUGUAAGUUUCAUGAAACAAUAAAGAUGAAAUUAUAUAGAUAAAAAUAGAGGAAUAUCAAAAAGAUAUCUAAAAGUUUUAAAUUAAAUAUUGGAAGGUUUCAAAGGGCCAAAAUAGAUAAAAGAGAACAACUUUAAGAUUAUUAAAAAAAAAAAGGAAAAAUUACUGGAAUAUUCAAUUUAAGACUUUAAUUUAUAUAAUGUUAAUUUACUCUUUUUAUUUACAACAUUAUCAUUUUAAUUACAAACCUGACAACUUAAUAAAUAUACAUAUCUUUAUACGAUUUUUUUACCUAGUUUUUAGCUUAGUGGGCUGAUUUUAUCUGUUUCAUAAUUUAUUAUUUUUACUUUUUUGAUUUUCAAUCACAACUAUAAUUGGUUACAUUAAUUUUGCCUUUUUUUUUCUCUUUCUUACUUAAUACAAUUACACUUCUAAAUUUAUUUUUUCUUUCUCUUCAAUUACGUUUUUUUUUUACUUUUAGAAUAAUAUAAUGAUAAAAAAUAUAUAUAUAUGAUAUAGAAUGGUAUAAACUUCUUGUUUUUCUUUAUAUUAUUUAAGUGCAAAAUUGGUAUAUAUAUGGUGGUAAAAUUAUGAAAUAGAAUAGUAUAAACAUGUUGUUUUUCUUGGUAUAAGUUAUCUGUAGAAUAAUAUAGUGGAAAUUAGGAUAUGGAAUGGCAUAAACAUGUUUUUUUGAAUAUAAAUUUUUUAAUAUUGUAUAUAUUAUGGUGACAAUUUGGUGUACAUUACAAUUUUUGACAUACCGUAUUUAUUUUGGAAUUCUCAAUGACAAUUAUAGUUGAAUAUGAUUUUUUUACUUAAAGAUCCUAUUUUUUUAGGAUGCAGGUUUCUUUCUCUCAUUUUUUUGGUUGAUUUUUUCAAUUCUAGUGCUGAUUUUUUUGGGAGAAUUUAUUGCCUAAUUAAUAGGAUUUUUACCAUUUAACACAUUCCUUAUUUGAUACAAUUAAUUACUCUUGAAUUUGUUCUUCUCUCUCUCCAUUUUCGUUUCAAUUCUUUUAUAAAAAAUACCAAUUUAAGUUCCAUUAUAUAAGUACCAAUAUAUGCAAAGUAAUAAAAAAAAAAACAAUUUGCAUACCCUAAUAAUAACCAUUUGCAUACCACAAUAAUUAUUUAUGCAUACUAAUUUGUAUAUCAAUAAUAGAAUUCUUUUAGGUAAUAUUGUAAAAAAGGAAAAUAUGAAAUCUUAUUAUGGUGUGAAUUGAUGUACAGUAUGAUUUCAAUAUAUAUAUUUCUAUUUGUAAAUACAAUUUUACUAUUAUAUAAUUUGAUUCUUUAAAACGGUAUACAUUGUGGUAUAGAACUUGAAAUUACACUAAAACUAUAUGACACUAUUUACGAAUAACAUUAAAAAUUUAUAAUAUAAAAAAUGUACCAUAUAAUAAUACUAACAUUUGUACUAUAUAAUAUACCAACAUUAUUGAAUUCUACCCCAUAUCAAAAUUGUACCAUAUAAUAUACCAACAAUUAUUGAAUUCUACCCCAUACAAUAUACCAAUUAGUUGAUAUUUCGUGCCAUUUUUUUUUCAAAUGACAUUUAAUACCACAAGGAAAAUCAACAUAAACAAUAGAACUAAUUACAUCAUAUGAUUAAAUAUGAUUCUGAAAAAAAUGUUUAAUAAACAACCAAUAAAAUUCAAAUCCGCUAAUAACAUUCAAUUAGAUUAUGAAAAAAAAGUGUUAUAAAAAAGAAUUAACUCAACAAUGCUAAUCCUCAUAUGGAUAUUUGGUACAAGUUUUGGUAUUUGAUUUUUUUUUAAAUGGUAUUUGCGUCACAUAUCACUUCUUCAAUCUUGAAAUCCACAUACCUUCCUGCAAUAUAUUUUUAAAAAAAAUUAAAGAACCUACUAAACAACUGUUAUAACAAUCAAAUUUGAAAUACACAAUCAUAUUUUUUUUACAUCACCAAAAAAAGUUAUAUACGAAAUGGUGUAUAAUAUGGUUAAAAAUUGGUGUCCACUUCAUUAUUCUUAUAAUGAAAUUUGAACACCAACUUAUAACAAACUAUAUAUAUAACAUUGAUUUAUUAAGAUUGACAAAGUUGAACAUGAUUAUAUGUUACAAUCCAACGGUGCAUAAUACCAUGAUUAUAUGAUUAAGGUGUACAUUAUGAUGACAAUUUGGUGUACAUUUCAAUCUAAUAUAUAAUGUACGAUAUACACCAAACAUUUACACCACAAACUAACCAAAAGUAACUAAUUUAUUUAUAUAAUAAAUUUAAUUAAACAAUCAACUACAUGCAUAAUACCAUCAUAUAAUAUCUAUUUUUAAAAAUUUACACAUUAAUUAUAGUGUACUUGAAUGGUGUACCGUAUGUGUAUAAUUUAAUAUAAUAAAUAAUACAUAUUUUAAACCAAUAUUACACCAUGAUCUUACCAAGAAUUUUAACAAAUUAUUUUGGAUAACCAAAUUAAUUAAAAAGUGUGUACAUUACUAUUUAACAUUGAUUUCCAUAUUAGUAUUGUCAUUAAACAGUGGUAAAUUUAUAGAAUUCGAGUAAUAUUAGGUGUUAAUCUUAAUUUUGAUUAUAUUUGCAAUCCUACAAUUCAUAAUACCAUAAUCUACAAACUAUACGAGAUGUUUGUUUAAACAAUUAUACAAACAGCAUUAGUGCCAUGAAUGAUUCAUCAAAAUCAAUUUACAAAUAAUAAAAUUUUCAUGAUUAACCACAACAAAAAAAGCCUUAAAAGAGAUUUUUCAGCCACUGAAACAUUUGUUUUUUUUUUUGAAAAAUCAAACUCUAUAAUCUUACAAAAAUAAAUCAGAAGUAAUUUAAAAAUAUGAUACAUACCGGUGAUAUCUCAUAUUUGUCGUGCUGAAUUAAAACGGACACGUUCUUGCUUUCAACCAUUGAAACGACCUUAAACAGGAGAUAAAGACUUUGUAUUGGUUACAAUACGUUGUUUUGAGAUAUGAGAGAAAUAUUAAGUAAUGAAUAUCUAUGGAAGGUAACUGAAUUGGAGUAAAUUAAGGAAUUAAUAUCUUAUUUAAUAUUGAAUGAUGCAUUGCUUCUUCUUUUUUUUACCCUUUUUUUUUAAUUUAUUUUUAUUUUGUUUUAUUUUGUAAAGAUUCUAUUGCUAUGUUGGUGUAAAGUCAAACUAUUGUUAUAUAGAGGUUAUUUAGGUCCUUAAAUUGUAUAUUUAAGUUUUUUAUUUCAACUUUCAACUUUUUUUUGUUCCCACUUUUAGUAAUAUAUGAUGACUAGUUUAUGGGGACGUGCACCGCACGUGUAUUCCAUGUGAAUUUUUAUGAAUUUGUUAGAACAAAAAAAAAUCUAUGAAAAUAUACAUGGAAUGAAUAAUUACAUACCAAUUUGAGCCCACAUAAAAAAUACAAAUUAAAGAAGUUUAAUAGGGAAGGAAAAAAAUAGAUACGAAAAAUAUAAUAUACACAUUCUUCUUAGGAUUGUAAUCAUAACAAUAUUGAUGGAAAAAAAAUAAUAUAGAAUCAGUACAGAAUUUUUCAAGUUCUUGUCGACUCCUUCUCCCUUAUAGCCUUCUUCAUCGAGUCAAAAUAAAGCAUGAAUCAAAUAGUACACUAAUGAUGUAAACACUUCAUUACUCUAACUAUAAAAUGAAAAUGAUAACCUUGGGUGAUCACAUGAACCAAAAAAUCGGUAAUUGGUAAUUAUUAAAGUUCUUAAAAAUAAAAUAAAAUUUGAAUCUGAACGAUUUGCCACUGUUAAUCUAUGAUAAAGAACCGAAAAUAAAAAGAAAAAAGAGUCGGUGGGGGGCUGAUUCUUAUGGGUCGCAGGGAAAGGUUUGGUGGAUGGGGGAAAUGUGCAGAGUACAAAAUUUUAUUUUAUUUUUUAUUAUUUAAAAUAUAUUUUUUCCCUAUAUUGAAUUAUAUUUUUUAAUAAUUUUUUGGAUCCACAGACACAUGUCAUAACUUUAUUCGUCAUAGUGUCAUGUCAUAGCGAGUAUAUCUCACAGACUUAAUAUUUUAGGCUGAUUGUCCAAAAAAUGUCAAAUAUGUGUCAAUCUAAGUACUAGAGGUGUUCAAUAGAUACAAGAUUUAGUUAAGGAGUUCAAGUAAAAUAUGCGAAUAACUUUAAGAGGUUGUGUAUGACUUAAGCCGGUUAUUAUUUGUCAAUAAUGUAGUACUUAUGAUGUCGGCAUUGAAGCACAAUAAUUGUUGCCAUUUAGCAGCUCAAUUCACCUCCUUUAUCACCAUUGAAUCUAUAUCUGCCAUUGUUGAUUUAGAAGAUUAGAAAAAAGAAAGAAAAGGAGAGUAGUGUUCUGAUAGAUAGUAGGGAAGAAUUUGGGUGGGUUUGGUAAAAUUGGUAAUUAUUAAAGUUUUUUUAAAAAAAAAAAGAAAAUUUGAAUCUGAACGAUUUGUCAUUGUUAAUUUAUGAUAAUGAACCGAAAACAAAAAGAAAAAAGAGCCGGUGGGGGGCUGAUUCUUAUGGGUUGCAGGGAAAGGUUUGGUGGGUGGGCGAAAUGUGCAGAGUACAAAAUUUUAUUUUAUUUUAUUGAAUUAUAUUUUUUAAUAAUUUUUUUUGGAUCCACUGACACAUAUCAUAACUUAAGCAGGUUAUUAUUUGUCAAUGAUAUCGGCAUUGAAGCACAAUAAUUGUUGCCAUUUAGCAACUCAAUUUUAUCUGUCCGAAAACUCUAGUGGAAACUGCCCAAGUAUAUCUGUAAAUGGAACUUAUCAAGGUUGAUGAAGCCCCAUUGGGUUGCCACAUAUUGGCGAUUCCUUAUCCAGGGAGAGGCUGUUGGCAACAUGAUCAGACGUGGUUUAGUAGUUAGGUUGUUGCAUUUGUUUAGGAGUCAUUAAGUUGUUUCCUAGUCUUUAGGUUAUAGGAGUAGUGGAGUCAGUUUUUUAUAUUCAGAAUUAUUAGGAGAGUAAACGUGUUUUUUUAUCUAUAAUGUUUUCUAUUUAAGGACUCUUGUAACUGAGUAUUAAUGGAAUACAAACAGAGAAAAUUUUCACACUUGCGAGUCUUUUCUUUUCAUCUUUGCUGCAGUUUAUUUUCUAUCAUUUGGUAUCCGAGCCAGAAAGUUUUUUUCUUCUUUUUUGAAGUACUAUUGCAGCAACAAAAGAUGGCUUCUGAAAAUUUUGUCCAGGCCGCUAUUCCGCGCUUCGAUGGUCAUUACGACCAUUGGAGCAUGUUGAUGGAGAACUUCCUUAGGUCCAAAGAGUUUUGGCCAGUUGUCAGUAUUGGAGUGAAAGAGCCAGCAACUGGUACUGCCUUGUCGGAAACACAAAAGGCAGAGUUGGAUAGUCUAAGAUUGAAGGAUCUCAAAGCGAAGAAUUACCUUUUUCAGGCUAUUGAUCGCUCAAUACUGGAAACCAUUCUUUGCAAGGAUACUUCCAAACAAAUAUGGGAAUCCAUGAAGAAGAAGUAUCAAGGAACAGCGAAGGCAAAACGAGUGAAGCUUCAAGCACUCCGUGGUGAGUUCGAGACUCUACGUAUGCAAGGUGGUGAGUCGGUAACAGAUUAUUUCUCUAGGACGUUGGCUAUCGCAAACAAAAUGCGAAUUCAUGGUGAAAAACUGGAGGAUGUUACCAUUAUUGAGAAAAUACUUCGCUCAAUGACAGCAAAGUUCAAUUAUAUUGUUUGCUCCAUUGAAGAAUCCAAAGAUAUCGAUACUUUUUCUCUUGAUGAGUUGCAGGGUUCUUUGUUGGUUCAUGAACAGAAAAUAAACCAACAGGACAAGGAUGAAGUAGCAUUGAAGGCAGCAAUGUCUUCGAAAGGUACAAAUCAGGAGAAGGUCAAAUGGAAAGGAAAUAAUCGGCACCAGAAGAAAGAGAAGAGCAGCACUGCAGAUUCCCAGGAAAAAAAAAAGGAGUGACAAGUCUCAAAUUGAAUGCUAUCGAUGCCAUCGAUUUGGACACUAUCGAUCUGAGUGUCGCACCAAUUUAAAUAGGAAGAGUGGUGGCAGAUCUAACUUUGCAGAAAUGAAGGAGAUGUGGAAACAAAGGGGGAAGAAGAGGAGAUUUCACUUUUAAUGGCAUACACUGCCAAAGAGAAAGCUUCAAAUGAUGUAUGGUAUCUCGAUACAGGCUGUAGUAAUCACAUGCGUGGGGAGAAAGAAGCAUUCUCAGAGCUGGAUGAAACUUUCCGAGAUACUGUCGAGAUUUGGAGAUAAUUCAGUGGUCUCUGCCAUGGGAAAAGGAAAGGUACAAGUCAACUCCAUUCAUACCAUUAGUGAUGUGUUUUAUGUCCCUGCGCUGAAGACAAAUCUACUAAGUGCUGGGCAACUUUAAGAAAAGGGAUAUAAACUUAAUAUCAAAGGUGGAGUUUGUAAGAUACGAGAUUCUCAUUUGGGGUUAAUCGCACAGAUUAACAUGUCAUCAAAUCGCUUGUUCCCUUUAUAUCUUCACAACUCCACAAAAUCUUGUCUCUCUGCAAAAGUUAAAGGGGAUUCCUGGAAGUGGUAUUUUCGCUAUGGUCAUUUAAAUUUUGGAAGCUUGAAGUUUCUAAAACAAAAACAAUUGGUGUUGGGUCUUCCAGAGCUUGAAUCUCCCAAUGAAGUAUGUGAAGAGUGUGUUGUUAGCACGCAACACCGUGAACCAUUUCCAAAACGCAAUUCUUGGAGGGCAAAGAAGGUUCUGGAGUUGGUUCACUCAGAUAUUUGUGGUCCGAUAAGUCCUACAUCUAAUGGAGGUAAACGCUAUUUCAUUAGCUUUAUUGAUGAUUAUAGCAGAAAUACUUGGGUUUUUUUCUUAAGAGAAAAAUCUGAAGCAUUUGAAACUUUUAAGCAGUUUAGAGUGCUUGUUGAAAAUGAAGUAGGUUGUCAAAUUAAGUGUUUGCGGACUGAUCGAGGUGGUGAAUAUAACUCACUAGAAUUUGUAGAAUUUUGUGAGAAACAUGGAAUUAAAAGGCACCUUACCGCAGCCUACACACCUCAACAGAAUGGUCUGUGUGAAAGAAAAAAUCGCACAAUUCUAGAUAUGGUGCGUAGUCUUUUGAAGAGAAGUCACUUACCAAGAGACUUUUGGGCAGAAGCAGUUCGUUGGAGCGUUCAUAUAUUGAAUAGAUGUCCUACCAACUCUAUUCAAAGUAUGACACCUCAUGAAGCUUGGAGUAGGCGUAAACCAAAUGUUGAGUACUUUCGGAUUUUUGGAUGUAUAGCAUAUGCACAUAUUCCAGAUGCAGCAAGGAAGAAGUUGGACGAUAAAGGUCAGAAGUGCAUUUUCCUUGGUAUUAGUGACAAAUCAAAAGCUUAUCGCUUGUUCAAUCCUAUUACUAAGAAAAUAGUUGUUAGCCGAGAUGUUAUUUUUAAUGAAGAAGCAAUCUGGAAUUGGGGUGAUAACAAUUCGUUUCAACAUAUUCCAGUUUCUGUUGAAGAAGAAGAGGAACCAGAACGACCUUUGGAGAUCAGUUCACAACCAAGUCCAAUUGUACAGGAUGCUGAAAGUGUUGAACACGAAUCAGAUGGUUCUCAGCUCAACAAUGAACGUCCACAACGUAUUAGAGGGGCACCAAGAUGGUUGGAAAAUUAUGAGGUAUAUGGGACUAGGAAAUCUGGAAAUACAGUAAGUCAUUUUUCUUAUUUUUAGAUUGUGAUCCUAUAUCUUUUGCUGAUGCUGUUAAGACCUGAAGUGGCAGCAAGCCAUGGAUGAGGAGAUUAGAUCAAUUGAAAAAAUGAUACUUGGGAGUUGACAAAUCUUCCAGAAAAUCAGAAAACCAUUGGUGUCAAAAUGGGUUUACAAAACAAAGUUGAAGGAAAACGGAGAGGUCGACAAGUUCAAAGCUCGCUUAGUAGCAAAAGGCUACAAGCAAGAAUAUGGUGUUGACUAUGUAGAAGUGUUUGCUCCCGUUGCUCGUUUAGAUACCAUCAGAUUGGUGAUUGCUUUGGCUGCUCAAAAUGCUUGGAAAAUCUAUCAGCUGGACGUGAAAUCUGCCUUCCUACAUGGUGAACUUCAAGAAAAGGUAUCUAUCGAACAACCUCCUGGCUAUGUGAAAUUUGGUGGUGAGAAUAAAGUGCUUAGACUGAAAAAGGCUCUUUAUGGACUAAAACAAGCUCCAAGAGCUUGGUAUAGUCGCAUAGAUACUUAUUUUUCAAAGGAGGGAUUUCGAAAGUGUCCAUAUGAACAUACUCUCUAUAUAAAAAGGAAAGGUGCAGGGGUCUUAAUGGUGUGUUUAUAUGUGGAUGACUUAAUUUAUACCGGAAGUGAUGAGUCUAUGAUUGAGAACUUCAAGAAGUCCAUGAUGGUUGAGUUUGACAUGUCCGAUUUGGGUAUUAUGCAUUAUUUUCUUGGUUUAGAAGUGAAUCAAUCUGCUGAUGGUAUUUUGUUCUCAAAAGAAUAUGUGCAAGAUAUUCUGGACAGAUUCCAGAUGAAAAAUAGCAACACUGUGAGCACACCAAUGGAGAAGGGUCUGAAGCUCGUCAAAGAACCUGAAGGGAGAAAAGUGGACAGCACUUUAUACAAGCAAAUCAUUGGAAGCUUGAUGUACUUGACGGCAACAGGCCUGAUGUUAUGCACGCUGUAAGUCUCAUUAGUAGAUUCAUGGAGAGUCCAAAAGAAAUGCAUCUACAAGCUGCCAAGAGGAUCCUGCGGUACUUGAAUGGCACCAGUGACCUUGGAAUUCUUUAUCAGAUGAGAGCAGCUGGAGAUUUAGUUGGUUACACUGAUAGUGACUAUGCUGGAAAUCUUGAAGACAGGAAAAGCACAUCAGGAUUAUGUUUUUAUGUUGGGCUCUGGAGUUAUUUCUUGGUCUUCAAAGAAGCAACCUAUUGUUACUUUGUCGACUACCGAGGCAGAGUAUGUAGCUGCAACAUCGUGUGCUUGUCAAGCAGUAUGGCUGAGGAAUAUUCUUGAAGAACUUCAUUUUAAGCAGGAAAGACCAACUCCAAUCUAUUGUGACAAUACUUCGGCGAUUAAUCUUUCAAAGAAUCCAGUUGAACAUGGACGAAGUAAGCAUAUAGAUGUGAAGUAUCACUUCUUGCGUGAUCUGACUAAGGAUGCAAACAUUAGUCUUAUUUAUUGUAGGAGUGAAGAGCAGGUUGCAGACAUGUUCACAAAGCCCCUGAAACCAGUGUCCUUUCUAAAGCUACGCGAUCAACUUGGUGUUUGCAAAUUAAACUGAAAGAUGUUUCAGUUUAAGGGAGGGAAUGUUGGCAACAUGAUCAGACGUGGUUUAGUAGUUAGGUUGUUGCAUUUGUUUAGGAGUCAUUAAGUUGUUUCCUAGUCUUUAGGUUAUAGGAGUAGUGGAGUCAGUUUUUUAUAUUCAGAAUUAUUAGGAGAGUAAACGUGUUUUUUUAUUUAUAAUGUUUUCUAUUUAAGGACUCUUGUAACUGAGUAUUAAUGGAAUACAAACAGAGAAAAUUUUCACACUUGCGAGUCUUUUCUUUUCAUCUUUGCUGCAGUUUAUUUUCUUUCAGAGGCCACAUUAAUCCAUUGAUGAAUUUGUGCAAGCUCAUAGCUGCAACGUCCACACCAGAUCUUCUACUACAAAUCUCUUUUAUUGUAACACAAGAGUGGUUCAGCAUUUUGAAAUCAGAGCCAAAACCAGAUAAUAUCCAAUUUCGAACAAUUCCAAAUGUAAUUCCCUCAGAAAAAGAUCGAAGCAAAGAUUUGCCGGGCUUCAUGGAAGCUGUAUUUACAAAGAUGGAAGCUGACGGGUUUCCAAAGCCUAAUGUGAUUUUAGCUGAUUCGUUCUUGCCGUGGGCCGUCAGUAUUGGGGAGCGGAGGAAUAUUCCGGUGGCUUCAUUUUGGACCCCUUCUGCCACCGUUUUCUCCAUCCAUUAUCACUAUCAACUACUCAAGGAUAAUGGACAUUAUGAAGCCAAUUUAGCAGGUACCUAACUUGUUUUUUCCUUUUUCCUUGUUAGAUUAAGAUGCAUGUCAUGUAAUUGUAACCUUACUUGUUUGAAUUUUGAAUUUAUGAAUUUUUUUUUUUUUUUUUUGAAAGAAUAGCUUAAUAAGUUUUGAAUAAAUUAUUUAUACGUAUUUUAAAAAAAAAAUUAAGCAUACAUACAGAUACAGAUAUCAGAUAUGAAUUAAAUCACAAGCAUAAUUGUAACUCCGACCUUGCUUCCAAAGUUCACAUUGUAUCACAUAAAUUUGGCAGUUUCAUUUUAUCUUAAAAGAAAAAACUUGAAAUUUACGAAAUGGUUUUCUAGAUUGUUAUCAAAGUAAAAUCUCCUUCCCUCUAAACUGAUUGGCUUCAAAUUUCGAAUUUUCUUCUAGCUUUUACCAACAUUUAGAAAAAAAUUUAAGGGUUGAUACUUUGACAAGUUGUCGGAAAUUCUUUCCAAAUUACUGUAAUUAGUAGGAGUACAGUAAUUACCUCGCUUAAAUUUGGUGAAAUUAAGUUUUUGUAGAUAUGUAUUCACCCGCAUUUGUCUACCUAACUAAUUACAAAGUUGGAAAUAGGAAUGUAACAUAAGUUGAGUUUCUUAAUUUUCUAAUGAACAGAGCAAGGAGAAGAACUCGUAAACUACAUUCCUGGGAUAACACCAAUUCGUGUAGAGGAUCUCCCAUCUGUAAUCUACGGCAAACAAAGGAAGUUAUUGCCCUUUCUUCUCGAAUAUGUAUCACAAUUGGCCAAUAAGGCACAAUACGCCUUGUUCACCACCAUUGAAGCAUUGGAAUCUCAAGUGCUAGAGGCUUUACAAGCUGAAUUACCAGUCCCCAUUUUCACAGUUGGUUUAACAAUCCCUUGCUUGGAUACCGAAUUCAAGUCCAACCAGCCUAGUCCAAACUACUUGUCAUGGCUUGAUGAUCAACCUAAGGACUCUGUUCUAUACAUAUCCCAAGGAAGUUUCAUGUCUGUAUCAAAAGAACUGCUAGAUGAAAUUAUAGCAGGUGUGCACAGCAGCGGUGUCCGAACGUUUUGGGUGUCAAGUGAGAAUGCAUCCUUACUUACAGACGGAAUUGGGAAGAGGGGAAUCGUGGUGCCUUGGUGCGACCAAUUGAAAGUUUUGUGCCAUCCUAGUGUAGGUGGAUUUUGGUCGCAUUGUGGAUGGAAUUCAACCAAGGAAGGUGCAUUUGCUGGUGUUCCAUUUCUUACGUUCCCCAUUGGGGCUGAUCAAGGUACCAACAGUAAACAAAUAGUGGAGGACUGGAAGAUUGGGUGGAGGAUCAAUAAGGAUCGCGAGAACCUGGUUAAGAGAGAUGAAAUCGCUCAGCUUUUGCAGAGUUUUAUGGACCUUGACAGCUACGAAGGAAAAGAAAUGAGAAGAAGAGCAAUGGAAAUAAGGAACACCUGCCUAGAAGCAAUUGAAGGCGGCACCAUCCAGGGAAAUAUCGACAAGUUCAUUCGGG